CACAGCCGGAGCGGCCAAGCUGGCAUCCAGUCAACCUGGGUGUCCAAAGAAAUCUGCUAGGUCCUAGAGUCCUGCAGCUGUGAGAGGCUCCUAGGGUGGACGUGCUGUCACAGCUCCUAGCAAUGUAGCACUGAAGGAGGGUGGCAAUGGACAGCAGUGGGCCCAACCCUUCCUGAUAGGACCUACAGCAGUUGUUAAGAACUGCAGCUUCUUGAACAAGAGAGAAGACCCCAGACCCUGGCAUCCGACCGACUAUGCCCGACUGCGCCCCUUUCCAGGUUAUGUGUGGCAUUAUAUCCCCUCCAGGAGCCACAGCCUCACUGUAGCCCCCUCCUCUUCCUUCCCUGGUUAAGGGGGGUCUUUUGCAGAGCCUCUUAGCUUCCUCCAUAGAGAAGGGUAAUGGGGUGGGUGAGGGUGGGAGUGGAGGGUCCUCUGCUCAGGGCAGAAGGCUAAGAAGUGCUGCUCAGGGGUGUGCCUGACCAUCCUGGCCCCUGCCUGACACCGGGCAUAGUGCUCAGAUGAGGACACCAGGACAGGCUGGGGACACAUCACAUAGAAGUCCCAUGACGCUGCUUGGAACCAUGGUAGUGUCUGGGUGGGCUCCCUCACUGCCAGGGGAUGUUGAGCAGUCAGCAGGACCACAGGGAGCAGGCACCCCACAGGAGGGAGGACAUGGCCUCUGGGCCCCUCCUCUCAGCACAGCCUCUCUGUUGAUAAAUGGAAGCUAUCCCAGCUGCACCCACCUUAGCCCACGGCCUUGCUCAUUCCUCAGACCUGCUGACAAAAAGCGUCAGGGAACCAAAAGGUCAGCCACCUGGCCCAAGAGGGCACUUGCAGCCUUCUCCCUGGGGGUGCGGCUGGAUUUGGGUUAGCAAUCUGGGCAGGGGCCUGGUCCUUCCUUCCCCUAUCCCUUCUUCCCUCCCUCCCUCUAGCUGUAACCUCCAGAAAGUAGCCGGAAAGCCAACUGUUUGUGCCAAACUUGCUGGCUAGAAGCCAGGCCCAGUUGGAUGGAGUGGCCCAGGCUGGUGACAUCCCUAAGGAAUGCCCACAGGGGGCAAGUGAGACCACCAUGGGAGUGGAGGAAGCAGCGGUGGAGCCCAGACAAGGCUGGCCCCAUCCUGCAGAAACUGAAGGGCAAGCCCACGUUUCCUGCUGACCCGAUGGCACAGCUGACGGAACCACGACCACACUCUGCUGCCCCGCCUGAAGGUGACUCAUCUGCCUGCUUUCCAGCUGCUGCACAGACCCCAGCCCUGAUGCCUGACACCGAGCCAGAGGCCAUGCUUGCAAGGAGCCAGGUAGGGACAGCCCCAGUGGAGUCCACUGUUGGGGAAAUCUGAGGAAUGAUUGAGGCAAUGAGUGGGAGUCAAUUUCCAGUCCAGCUGGUCAGCUCAGAGCCUGUUUCCUCACACUGACAUUGGUUAGGCGGCGGCAGAGGUGCCUGGCUGGGGGCGAAGCAGUGGGUGGAGGCCUGGUUGGGGGACUAGGGUGCUCCAUGCUGGGCUCUCCCAGAUCUGUUUUCCCCUCUGGCGGAUGUGAUGGGGACCCAAUGAAUCUUUCGUUUAAAUACAGAUCUCAGGAAAUAAGCUGGAUUUGAAGUGCUUGCCUCCCUAUACCUUUUAUACCACCUUAAAUUUUAUAAAUUGAUGGAAUUUGUCUUGUCCCUUAAGACUUUAAGUCAUCUGGUCCACAUACCAGUUCUGAGAUGAAGCAGGGAGAUUUAGAGACCCAGAAACAUGGGUCCAGGGAGUCCACACUCUGGACCGUUACACUGCUGACUGCGUAAUCGGGGAAGACGAAGUGUGGAGGGAGGGCAGUGGGGCCACCUCAUCUGGCAUGGACCUGGCUUCGGGACAGCUACCUUCCCAAAGGUACAGCUAGGGGCUCCAUCCAGGAUAAGGGUGAUUGCUUGAUUCUGAAUCUCCUGGGAGCCCGCCAGCCAUCAGGACCUCUGGCACUUCCAGCCCUCAACUUACCUGGCUCACAUUAGUCUGGCCUAAUUCAGCUGACAGUGAAGAGAGGCACUAUUAAUAUGCAGGUUCAACAGGAACAAAUUGACACCGUCCUGACCAAAAUGAUACAUGUUGCUUUAAGGAUAGGGGUAUGCCUGUCUCAUUACCGAAUGCCCUCCCCCAUCCCCAGCUGUCAGAAGGCAAGGUUUUCUGGACACUUCCCCACAAAUUUUGUUUGUGAAAGACACAGAUAUCAUCAGACACAGAUGUCAUCAUUAAAUAAAGACCACCACCAAGAUGAGUGUCUCUUCAAAAACUUUAUUUUUGUCUCAUCCAUCAAGGGCACAGUAUACCUUCAUCACCUCCAGCUUUUGUUUUCCUCCUUACAAACUGUCCCAUCACCUACACCAAGGAAUAUCCUGUGUAGGCAGCUUCUUAGAACAAAAUAUGUCUUCCGGGUUAAGUGUGCUCAAGUAUGAAAUGCAAGUUGCACUAUCUAAGCAGCCAAUUCCAAGCUGCCCCCAAAAUUCAAGAACUUUCUACAUCAGGACACAGACGAGAAGGUUCAGGUGUCACCCACCUGGGUUACCACAAAUAGUCACUCAACAGUUAACUCAAGCUGACUCGAAACCAUAGCCGUUUCUACUUGUGUUCACAGUGCCAUCCUAGAGCACAGGACACUCCAAUGCCUAGGAUUUCAGCUUCCUUCACAGUAAGGAAGCUGUCAGAGUUGGUUAAUUGUUCCAGAGCUGGUUAUGAUGGACCUUUUAGAAACACCCCUAAGGCUCCUAAGUUACCAAGAUUCCCAAGCCUAUUCUAGCUUGCCUCUCUGCAAGACCUUUAUAUUUUUAACUAAUCCUAUUAAAAACACACACACAAAAACAUUAGGGCGUGUCUUUCUACACCUAGCCUGGUGAUGUACAGGAUGCUUUGUCUGACUGUGGCUCUUGUGCCCUGUCCUGCUGGCAUUCAUAUAUUAUGCUUUACAGCUGGUCAUCAUUGGUCAAGAAAACGUUUUCUUACUGAAAAGGUGGCUUAGACCAAUGAGUUCCUUGCCUCUGGGCUUGUUAAAACAACUUGCUGUAUUGAGAUCUAGAACAUUUCAUGUUCAUGGAACACACCCCAAAUUUGAGCCCUAGAAAUUUACUUUUCUUGGCCUAUGUUGUACUUGAAACAAAUUUUUACUCCUUGACAAUAUGGGAGAGAGGGAAGCAUAUAAAUACCAAUCAUGGCAUUUUUAGGAGAUGGCCUUCUAACAUGCUUUCUGUAACUAUUUUUGUAAAUAAAAGGUUCAUCUAACCAAGCAAAACCUAAA
Molecule: long non-coding RNA, 3267 nt
Organism: Hipposideros armiger (great roundleaf bat)
Lineage: Eukaryota; Metazoa; Chordata; Mammalia; Chiroptera; Hipposideridae
Exons: 4
Source: RefSeq, a predicted model, not a curated record